AUCACUUCUCAGCCUUUUGGCUAAGAUCAAGUGUAGUAUCUGUUCUUAUCAGUUUAAUACCUGAUAUGUCCUCUCCCUAAAGACAAUAUAUUAAAUGGAUUUUUGGAGCAGGGAGAUGAAAUAGAAGUUUGCUCCAUUCAUUCCACACAUCAACCUGGUAGUGAAGCACCUCCAGGAAUGGUACAUUCCUU
This 191-nucleotide small nuclear RNA is filed under the name Castor canadensis (American beaver). Its description in RNAcentral is "U2 spliceosomal RNA (ENSCCNG00000028390.1)". It matches the Rfam family "U2 spliceosomal RNA". From Rfam's summary of the family: U2 is a small nuclear RNA (snRNA) component of the spliceosome (involved in pre-mRNA splicing). The record is from Rfam by way of RNAcentral. Lineage: Eukaryota; Metazoa; Chordata; Mammalia; Rodentia; Castoridae.